This 423-nucleotide ribosomal RNA is filed under the name uncultured bacterium. RNAcentral's name for it is "bacterial SSU rRNA". It matches the Rfam family "Bacterial small subunit ribosomal RNA", at positions 356 to 772 of the family's 1533-position model. The record is from RNAcentral.
GGGGAAUAUUGGACAAUGGGCGCAAGCCUGAUCCAGCCACGCCGCGUGAGUGAUGAAGGCCUUCGGGUCGUAAAGCUCUGUGGGGAGAGACGAACCGCCGAGGAUUAAUACUCUUCGGCAUGACGGUACCUCCUUAGCACGCACCGGCUAACUUCGUGCCAGCAGCCGCGGUAAUACGAAGGGUGCAAACGUUGCUCGGAAUCAUUGGGCGUAAAGCGCACGUAGGCGGCUUCGCAAGUCGGAUGUGAAAUCCCACGGCUCAACCAUGGACGUGCAUUCGAAACUGCGAAGCUUGAGUAUGGAAGAGGGUCGCGGAAUUCCCGGUGUAGAGGUGAAAUUCGUAGAUAUCGGGAGGAACACCAGUGGCGAAGGCGGCGACCUGGGCCAAUAUUGACGCUGAGGAGCGAAAGCCAGGGGAGCAAA